This 766-nucleotide ribosomal RNA is filed under the name Acinetobacter baumannii OIFC189. RNAcentral's name for it is "bacterial SSU rRNA". It matches the Rfam family "Bacterial small subunit ribosomal RNA", at positions 28 to 788 of the family's 1533-position model. The record is from RNAcentral. Lineage: Bacteria; Pseudomonadati; Pseudomonadota; Gammaproteobacteria; Moraxellales; Moraxellaceae.
AUUGAACGCUGGCGGCAGGCUUAACACAUGCAAGUCGAGCGGGGGAAGGUAGCUUGCUACUGGACCUAGCGGCGGACGGGUGAGUAAUGCUUAGGAAUCUGCCUAUUAGUGGGGGACAACAUCUCGAAAGGGAUGCUAAUACCGCAUACGUCCUACGGGAGAAAGCAGGGGAUCUUCGGACCUUGCGCUAAUAGAUGAGCCUAAGUCGGAUUAGCUAGUUGGUGGGGUAAAGGCCUACCAAGGCGACGAUCUGUAGCGGGUCUGAGAGGAUGAUCCGCCACACUGGGACUGAGACACGGCCCAGACUCCUACGGGAGGCAGCAGUGGGGAAUAUUGGACAAUGGGGGGAACCCUGAUCCAGCCAUGCCGCGUGUGUGAAGAAGGCCUUAUGGUUGUAAAGCACUUUAAGCGAGGAGGAGGCUACUUUAGUUAAUACCUAGAGAUAGUGGACGUUACUCGCAGAAUAAGCACCGGCUAACUCUGUGCCAGCAGCCGCGGUAAUACAGAGGGUGCGAGCGUUAAUCGGAUUUACUGGGCGUAAAGCGUGCGUAGGCGGCUUAUUAAGUCGGAUGUGAAAUCCCCGAGCUUAACUUGGGAAUUGCAUUCGAUACUGGUGAGCUAGAGUAUGGGAGAGGAUGGUAGAAUUCCAGGUGUAGCGGUGAAAUGCGUAGAGAUCUGGAGGAAUACCGAUGGCGAAGGCAGCCAUCUGGCCAAAUACUGACGCUGAGGUACGAAAGCAUGGGGAGCAAACAGGAUUAGAUACCCU